GAGCAUCUGAGAAGGAUGAAGGUUUGGCAGGAGAAACACCUACCAGAUCAGAUGUGAAUGUGUGGCAGAAGGCCCAUCUGGGAAGAUUGCACACUGGGCAGAAGGAAGAGCUAAGAACGUUGUACAGACAGCAGAAGGAGUGCCUCUGGAGAUUGCCCGCUGCAGGAGGGCGGGAACCGGCCCUCAUCCCCAUCGCGAUGGCUGCAAAGAGCCCAGCACCCUGGGCUCAGACUUCUGGGCUCGGCCCAGUGAACUUGGCGAAACUCAGGACGUCUGGGCUAGCCCUGCCAGCCUCCGCCCUGAACUUAUGUGCAGUUACCACCUGCACAUGGCAUGGGGCCGCGGGAGUGGCAAACCCCAACUCUGCCGGCAGCCACCAGCAGCAUAGACUCCAGGACCAUACGCUGCCAUGACCCCUCUGUUAGGCAGUCAGCCCCGUAGCCGCAGGAGGGCGGCAAUCGGCGCUCAGCCAAACCCCAUGGCUGCACAAUGCCCACGGCCUGCGAGUCCGCGCUCCCGCACCAGCCAAAAAAGUGCAGACCCCAGAUGAGGAUCUGGAAUAUCCACAAAGCUGCGUCCAGGGGAACGCGUGGAAGCUGCAGCGGAGCCUCCUGCUCAAGAGAAAAGGCCAGUCUGAAACCUACAAGAAGAACAUGUGUCGGGAACUGCGGGCUGUGGGCUGGGGGCUACUGGAGGAGGUGGGCAGGUGGGGAGAAGCACCCCCUUCAGAGCUGGGAGCUUGGGGAGUGGGGUCGAGGGGAGGCUUGGAAAGAAUGGAGUGUGUGGGGCGGGCCGUCCUGGUCCCCAGGGCGCUGGGCUUUUCUCCCUGGCAGACUCCGCAGCGCCUGA
This 849-nucleotide long non-coding RNA is filed under the name Pan troglodytes (chimpanzee). Its description in RNAcentral is "lncRNA (ENSPTRG00000054012.1)". The record is from RNAcentral. Lineage: Eukaryota; Metazoa; Chordata; Mammalia; Primates; Hominidae.